Long non-coding RNA from Camelina sativa (false flax), 291 nucleotides. RefSeq lists it as uncharacterized. Lineage: Eukaryota; Viridiplantae; Streptophyta; Magnoliopsida; Brassicales; Brassicaceae. The record is from RefSeq and is a predicted model, not a curated record.
UCAACUAAAUAAUGUAAUUGAAGAUGUACCUGCAUCUAAAGCAGAUUCUGUCCCAUUCACAAAGCUUUAUGUCCAUCAUUUUUCAUUAUGGUUUGAGAGAAAUAGCCACCACAAAUCACCUAUAUAUGUGUAUGAUGAGAUUUCUCAUAAGUUCGUGUAUGAUGUCAAUACAAAACAGUGGAAGAGAAACACUGUUCCAAUUGGUCAGACUCAUAAUGUGAAGAAGUUGUUUCAAUAUUUAAUCAAAGGAGACAGAAUCACAAGUGGAAGAAAGAGGAUCAAAAUAGGUCA